UACGGAGGGUGCAAGCGUUAAUCGGAAUUACUGGGCGUAAAGCGCACGCAGGUGGCUGAGUAAGUCGAUUGUGAAAGCCCUGGGCUCAACCUGGGAAUUGCAGUGGAUACUGGCGAGCUAGAGUGCGGUAGAGGAUGGUGGAAUUCCCGGUGUAGCGGUGAAAUGCGUAGAGAUCGGGAGGAACACCCGUGGCGAAGGCGGCCAUCUGGACCAGCACUGACGCUGAGGCACGAAAGCGUGGGGAGCAAACAGG
RNAcentral lists this ribosomal RNA (253 nucleotides) under uncultured bacterium. Its description in RNAcentral is "partial 16S ribosomal RNA". It matches the Rfam family "Bacterial small subunit ribosomal RNA", at positions 524 to 776 of the family's 1533-position model. The record is from RNAcentral.